This 27-nucleotide non-coding RNA is filed under the name Rattus norvegicus (Norway rat). Lineage: Eukaryota; Metazoa; Chordata; Mammalia; Rodentia; Muridae. The record is from RNAcentral.
UGAAUUGGGCCAAGCCCCACAUGGCGG